RNAcentral lists this long non-coding RNA (3819 nucleotides) under Amborella trichopoda. RNAcentral describes it as "long non-coding RNA (ATRI_LNC004466)". The record is from RNAcentral. Lineage: Eukaryota; Viridiplantae; Streptophyta; Magnoliopsida; Amborellales; Amborellaceae.
GGACAGCAUUAGAGACAAAGCAGGAUGAUAUGAGGGCAAAGUUGGAGGGAGUCAGGGCUGAGGUUGAGAAGUCGAGAGCUGAGCUAGAGAGGUGCGUUAGGCACCGGCCAAGACUAGCCCCAGCGACCUUGAGAGGGAUCUAGCCAGGCUUCAAGAGACUCUCAGUCGUGUCCGAGGAGAGCGGCUGUGUCUUCCUUCCUUGAUUUUCUCCUUCUCCUUCUUUACUGAUAUGAUACGUGUUUUCUUUGCGGGAGUUGCUUAGGAUGCAACUUUCAUGAGGAUGCACUAUGUAAGAAUACACUGCUGAGCAGCUAUCUCUUGGAGGCGGGCGGUGAACACUCUUGUGCACACAAGGUUUCUCAUAAGAGGCAGCCACCACCAUCCCUACCUCUAACCCGAUCACCGACUGGCCACAAUUUCAGAGCAUAGGGGAAUCCAGACAAGUACGCAUAUAGAGUCGUGUGGUCCUGCACCUGCAGCUGAGGACGGUCAUGAGGACACCGGGUAGAGGAUGUGAUCUUCCCUCCCCUUCUUUUAUUUAUUUAUGCAGAGGCAGUGAAUUUUGUUGCUAUCCCUAUAUAUAUAUAUAUAUAUAUAUAUUUGCCUUUCUUUCUCUUUUCUAAUUUUUUUUCUUCGUCUUUUGCUUUUCAACUUAUGCUUGGUUUCGAAUUUCGCCCUUUCAUCUAUGAAUGAUGUGCGAAUUCUUGUUAUUUCACUUACGUGCACUGAUUUGUCGAUGUUGAGGGGGACACUUAAAUUGCACACGAGUUUUAACAAGCCCAACACCCUUAGUUGUAGGGUUUUUGUCCCAAUAUUCCAGUUAACAGACCAUUAAUUCGAUACACACAUAUGAGAAAUGGGUUUAUCCCAUUUUAUAUCUCAGGGGAUCUAGUAGAGAGAGAAAAUGCUCCCAAACUAAUCAAUAUCAUCAUUAACUAGGCCCACCUAUCUCUGACAUGCGAUAGUUGAUAGUUAUAUUUGUACAACCAUGAAGUGUCCUGACUUGCCCUCAUAACAUGCAAAUAGGGGUUGCUAGAUAAGUUCUUCCCAUAAAGAGCUUCCUCAUGAAACAAAGGAUCCUCAAAAUAUUGGAACCCUGAGGCCUUGUUUCCACGGCCAAACAACUACAUUAAGAUAAGGGGUGUUUGAAAAUAUAUAAAAAUCGACAUUUUUUCUUCUUGCAGAGUUGGGUCAAUUUUGGCAGCAUUUUCUUAAUAAGCAGGAACGUAGAAGGGGCUCACCAACGAUAUGUGGAACGUACCAAAUUGCGCCAUUUUCUCGCUCAAGUGGACGGCAAAGAAAGAAAGCUUGUUCCUCAUUAAAUGAUUCGUCCAAACGAUUCUUAAGCUUAUUAUCAAAGCUUUUUUCCAAUUAAUUGGAGUCGCAUAUACAAAUCUUGCUCUGCCAUCCUACUCUAUUAAUGACCAUACCCUUAAUGAGGUUAUAAUUCGUUUCUAGAGAAUGCCCUAGCAUAAGCAGGUAUUGGAGGUGUAGGAUUCAUGAAAGUUUUUGCAAAGUGUGGAGGUUAACAAAUCUAACUCUAUGAGUCUUGAGACUAAUGGAUCGUAUCUUGCAUACUAUGAAUGAAAUUGGAGAUAUAGUACCAGAUGAGCAUUGCUUGUAAAUUUGGCCAAGUCUAGCUUUUUUACUGAAUUCUUGCAUGCUAUUUUGGGGACUAUAAAUAGUGCUUAUUCAUAAGAAGGGGGAAAUUUACAUAAAUAACCAUUGUAUUUGUUUGAAUAAUAUAUUAUGCCAUAUUGCACAAUAUUUACAGAAGUAGAAAAACAAUGCAAAUCAUGAGACAUGACCGGAUUGGUAGUUUAGCCGGUCUUGUGAUCGUAAGAACUCAAGUCCGCAUGCGUAUCCAUGUAUCGCUGAUGCAGGUAUGCUUCACUUUUUAUAGGAGGAUACCUGGAUAAAUCAAGGCAAGUUAAAUCCAAUGAGAGUCACAAUGACAAAUGAUCCAGAGACAAGUAUCUUUUGAAAUGCAUAACAUGUAGUUAGUACACGAAAUGAUUGACAGAGGCUCUUGAGAAUCUUUUUCUCUUAAUUAUUUAUUAGAGGAUUGAGAAUAUUGCGAUAAGAUUCUCUUAAUUAUUUAUUAGAGGAUUGAGAAUAUUGGGAUAUGCCAUUCACGUGUACAUGCAAGUCUCCAACUUACUUGGGAGGGUUAGAAUCAGAUUUGCAUGUUGGCAGACACUCCACAAUACAAUCGUGACUUGGCUCCACAAAGUACGCUAUCUGCAAAGACCAAACGAUUCAUAGUUCAACCAUGAAUAUGGUGCACACAUGAGAGAGGGAGGGAGACGAGAACCAAAAUCUUAAGACUUGGUGAUUGAAAGAGUUAUUCCAUGAUUCCAGUUUCAUAUAUUUCCUAGUUACUUAGGCCCAGUUUAAAUAGACAAGUAGAAACGUAUUUUUCUAAUACAGUACUCAUUGAACACUGUUCAUGAGUAAUCCGCAUUUCUCAACCCCAUUUAUUUGGGAAAUGCUGCAAAAUUCCUAUUGCUACGAAAUACUAAAAGAACACCUGUUUUGCCUUGAUAAAAGCAAUCACGAAGGCCACUAACUCAAGAACAAGUGGUCUGUCCAAAUUUACAUUUAGAAAGCUAUGUUUUCUCUAGUCAUUGCUAUGCUUAUCUCUUGACAAGUAGUAAUUUCUAUCCAUUUAACAGUAACUAGCCAAAAUUGGGAAAUUUGAUAUCCUAAAUAUCUUAAACCAUGUGAGUUUCCACCAAAACAAGGAAUUGCGAAGUUGUACAUGAGAAAGAAAAAGCAUAUUCAACAUGACAAAGAAGACAUAAUUUGAACAAAACAUUGUUGUACUUCAUAUGCUAACGAAAUAAAUACAAUGACCACUUCCAAAUUCUCCAUUUAUCCUUAAAAGCUUGCAAAGCAAGAAAUUAGUACAAUAGGAUGAGGUCUUACAGAGUAGCGCUCUUGACCAUUUGAUAACACUCGAUGCAAUGUAGACCUGUAAAAACAGCACAAUGAACUGCACGAAGGUCUUACAAUCAAACUCAGGUUCUAAAGGGCCUUCUAAGGUCAUCAUGUACUCCUCAAGUCUUUUUACCCAAAAAGUACUCCUGAGUUUCCUUAAUAAAGAAUUGAAAUUCGUAUAAAACCAGUUAUAGACAUACAGCCAUUCUUACCAAGAAAAGUAACAUCCAUUUUCUAUGAUAAAAGCCUAUAUGAAUGGUGAGAUAUCCAUUGACUACCAACUGUAUAUCAUAGGUAACACUCAAAAGUAAGAGAAUAUAACCUGAACAAGAAUACAUAGAGGAGCCUCUUAAAAGAAAAAACACAUCUUUUGACUUUUAAAUGUUACCAGAAACUAGCAAUACUAACAUAAUAAUGAAAUUCAAAGAUAGGCUUCAACUUGUGCACAUAUGAAUAAGAAGCAAGAGAUUCCUGUUAUAGUGUUGAAGACUUAAACAAAACUUCAUGUAUUAGGCAUCCAGUUUAGGCGUAUCUAAAUUCCUGAGUUAUAAGUAUCCUUGUUUCUCUAUAAUUCACCUGUGUUCUAGGGAAAUGCUCAAAGGAAACACAACUCAAAGUCAAUGCAACCCUACGCUAACUCUUUACAUGUUCAUGAGCCUGUCCUCGCCAUUUAAGGGCUAUGUUUGAUUAUCACUGUGUGAGAAUUCCCAAGUAAACCAGGAGCCAUGUUAUCGUAUAAUUUAACUUCUGUCACUAGGUUAUCAUUUACUUCAACUUGCUCAGAGAUUGUAGUUGUUUUGAACAUCUUAAAAUUUUGAAUUUCAGAGACAUAUCAGAGCAAUUUUGUGAGAUGUACCUGAAGAUGCAAUUGCUCCAGCG